Long non-coding RNA from Hyla sarda, 429 nucleotides. RefSeq lists it as uncharacterized. The transcript has 3 exons. Lineage: Eukaryota; Metazoa; Chordata; Amphibia; Anura; Hylidae. The record is from RefSeq and is a predicted model, not a curated record.
UAUGAAAGGGUGCAUAUUUCUUAUGUGUGUGAGUCUAUCGGACAUGUUUUAAUAUGGAGUAACAAUUUAUUUUUCUAUUCCAUUGAGUGCUGGAUAUCCUCUUCCAUCUUGGAGUCACUCCUACUUGGACUUCUCUAUACUAUUUGUCCGUACAGCAGCAGCAUGUUCUAUCCCGUGCACCUGGAACAGACAAGCCUGUGCUAACUACUGCAGAGACGGACAUCGCUAUGGCCGGCAAUUUGCUGACUGGCAGCAUUACAUGCUGACCACAGCUGGACCAGGAAGAAGAUGGCAGUAGAGGAGCAGAGAAACCAGGGGAGCGGCAGCAAAUCCAUGUAUGUAGUGAACUACGUUGGAUUAGGUGUACUACGUCAAUGACCAAUGUUUCUUUUCUUUUAAUAAAAUUGUUGAUGAGGACUGUGUUUUUUG